This 454-nucleotide ribosomal RNA is filed under the name uncultured Acidobacteriaceae bacterium. RNAcentral's name for it is "bacterial SSU rRNA". It matches the Rfam family "Bacterial small subunit ribosomal RNA", at positions 8 to 490 of the family's 1533-position model. The record is from RNAcentral. Lineage: Bacteria; Pseudomonadati; Acidobacteriota; Terriglobia; Terriglobales; Acidobacteriaceae.
AGAGUUUGAUCCUGGCUCAGAAUCAACGCUGGCGGCGCGCUUAACACAUGCAAGUCGAACGAGAAAGUCCCCUUCGGGGGAUGAGUAAAGUGGCGAACGGGUGAGUAACACGUGGAUUACCUGCCCUUGAGUGGGGAAUAACUCCGGGAAACUGGGGAUAAUACCGCAUACGAUCCUUCGGGACGAAAGUCCUCGGACGCUCAAGGAGGGGUCCGCGGCCGAUUAGCUAGUUGGCGGGGUAAAAGCCCACCAAGGCAAAGAUCGGUAGCCGGCCUGAGAGGGCGCACGGUCACACUGGCACUGAGACACGGGCCAGACUCCUACGGGAGGCAGCAGUGGGGAAUCUUGGACAAUGGGGGAAACCCUGAUCCAGCGACGCCGCGUGAGUGAUGAAGCCUUUCGGGGUGUAAAGCUCUUUCAGCGGGGACAAUAAUGAUGGUACCCGCACAAGCAG